UUGAAUAUUGAAAUUUUCACUUGUGAAAUUUUCUAAAUUUCUAGCCAUUGUAUUUCUCUUUUAUGUUUUAUCAAAGAAUCUUGGCAAAUAAAAAAUUCUAAUAAUAAGAAUGUACGAAAAAUACAAGUGGACUAGAAAAUAGAGAAAAUAGAGAAAAAAACCUUUUUGCGUGAGACUCUUCUACGAGUGUGAAUCUCAACUCUCAAUGAAAGCACCAAUUUGUGGAUA
Molecule: long non-coding RNA, 228 nt
Filed under: Malus domestica (apple)
Lineage: Eukaryota; Viridiplantae; Streptophyta; Magnoliopsida; Rosales; Rosaceae
Description: long non-coding RNA (MDOM_LNC015648)
Source: RNAcentral